This 518-nucleotide ribosomal RNA is filed under the name Spilopteron occiputale. RNAcentral describes it as "partial 28S ribosomal RNA". Lineage: Eukaryota; Metazoa; Arthropoda; Insecta; Hymenoptera; Ichneumonidae. The record is from RNAcentral.
CCUGAGAAACCCAAAAGAUCGAAUGGGGAGAUUCAUCGUCAGCGGCGCUGGCACGCGGUCGGCUUUGCGAUGCAGCGCGGCCGUUCGCGGUCGCGCGGGCACGCGGCCGUCCGCGAGCCGGGGUUCAUAGCCCCGGUGCCUGUUGCCUGGCGUCGUCGGCGUGCACUUCUCCCCUGGUAGGACGUCGCGACCCGUUGGGCGUCGGUCCACGGCCCGGGUGGGAGUCUGUCUCGUGUGCGCCUCGCGGCGUUUCCAGCGGGUCAGACCCCCGGUCGCCCGACCGGCUGCCCGGCGGUACUCGCACGGUAUAUGGCCGCAAUGUAAUCUCGAACGCUGCGUCCGGCCCGUCGUCAGCGUGGCAAGUGGUUCCCGGUGCGAGCGGAUCCGAGGCCGCCACCGAGCCUGGCCAGCUGUUUGACCGACGCGGCUUGAAAAAUAAACGAAGGACCGGCCAAUCGCGCAAAAUUGCGUAAGCACGUUACCGGUCGGCGACGCUACUGCUUUGGGUACUUUCAGGA